Daphnia pulex (common water flea) is the source of this 1149-nucleotide long non-coding RNA. RefSeq lists it as uncharacterized. The transcript is spliced from 6 exons. NCBI's taxonomy places the organism in Eukaryota, Metazoa, Arthropoda, Branchiopoda, Diplostraca, Daphniidae. The record is from RefSeq and is a predicted model, not a curated record.
GUAACGUGUCUGACGGACAAAUCGUGGAGCGAUCGCCCGCCUAGUUGCCAGCUGAUUACUUGUCCGCCUUUGAGAGAUCCGGAACAUGGAACUGUCCAGUUGACCAAUUGGAUUUCGGACAAUCAAGAGCUCAAUAAUCAACAGCUGGCCGUGGGUUAUCAUUCUACGGCUCACUACACGUGCAAUCGUGUAUAUCAACUUUUUGGCCCGGGUCAACGGACUUGCACGGACCAAGGAACAUGGAGCGAUCGAGGACCACAAUGUCAAAGAGUAUGGUGCAAUGAACCUCAAGCGCCAUUGCAAGGAUUUGUGAUGGGAACUGGCCGGCAAUAUGGCGAAUUGGCGACGGGGUUCGCUACGCUUGUAGCACCGGCUAUCGGUUAAUCGGCGCAGACGAUUCCACCUGCCUGGCGGAUGGAAUACUUGGUCGACCGUGUCGCCUCAGUGUGAAGCCAGCUCUGACUUGCUUCGCGCCUCCUCCAACCGUUCCCCACACGAUAGCUCCGGCAUCCGGAAAGCCAAUAAACACCGGAACGCAAUUGAUUCUUCGCUGCCAGGAAGGGUUCACACCGGUCGGUGACAUGACGCUUCAGUGUUUGCACAAUCAACAGUGGUCCACUGUCAAGGGCUAUGCAAGAGAGUGCACUGCAGUCAUCCAGUUGCUAAAGGAACAGCUUCUGUGGUCGUCAUCAGUGGAGAGGCUGAUGCUGGAAGUGGACAGUACCACUUCGAGGAUCGACUUCUUGUUAGCUGCAAACAUGGUCGCCAUCUAAAGGGAAGUAGUGCCAUAUUAGUUUGCCAGGCAGACGGCCAAUGGACAGGUCAGCCUCCGGUUUGCGAAUCUCAAUGCGAUACGGUUUGUCUAAAUGGAGGCUCCUGCAAUUCCAACAAUCGUAAAUGUACUUGUCAGCCUGGAUACAGCGGGGACCGUUGUCAACACGGUAUUUAAAUCGCGUACCCACAGCAACUGAAAGAUGGCAUUUUUUUUUCAAAUUAGUAAAUCUUUGUUUAUUUAGUUCACAAUUGCACGCUAUUACUAAUUAAUCGUGUAGAAUAAUUUCUCAACAAGUUGUUUUUUUUGUUUGUUUGUUUGGUCUAGUUAAAUGUCAACAAAUGUUUGUUGUUUCGUGAAGGAAAAAUACAUGGGUU